Panicum hallii is the source of this 2289-nucleotide long non-coding RNA. RefSeq lists it as uncharacterized. NCBI's taxonomy places the organism in Eukaryota, Viridiplantae, Streptophyta, Magnoliopsida, Poales, Poaceae. The record is from RefSeq and is a predicted model, not a curated record. The transcript is spliced from 3 exons.
CUAAACUGCCGCCUCCCCCACUCUACAGAACCAACCCGUUCUCUCUUCCUCCUCCUCCUCCUCCUCCUCCUCCUCCUCCCCGCCCCGCCGCCACCUCCACUCCUCCCCGCCACCGCGUCCUUCCCUUCUCUCCCCGCCCCACUGCAGCCUCCUCCCCUCCUCCCCUCGUCCCCCCGCCUCCUCCCUCAGCGGCGGCGCGCUGGCACACUCACGAGGACGCAGCGGCGCGGUGCGGCGAGGAUGAGGCGGCGGGCGGGACGAGGAGCGGCGCACGGAUCCGCGGGGCUGCAGCGGGGACGGUGAUGCGGCGGCGCGCAGGGCAAUUUUCGCCUCAUGGUUAUCAGUGCCGCGUAAUGGUCCUCCUCCCCCUUCCCCUUCCCUCUCCCUGAUUGAGGCAUGGACGGGUUAGGAUCCAGAGAUUUGGAGCUAGGGUAGGGUGGGGAUUAGGCAUGGAGAGCCUCUCCAGGCUUGCCAGCGAGCUCGACGACGUCGAGACCAACGAGGCUUCCACGCCCCCUAAGCCCCCACCCUCCUUCUCGCAGGAUAUGGCGCCCCCGCACCAGAGGAGCAGCGGUGGCGCUCGCGCGACUGUGGGAGCUCUACUGAGAGAGCUUCCUGGAUCCACGAGGAGAAAGGAGGGAGGUAACGACCAUGGUGGCUAAGGAGGUCUCCACACCGCCGGCCCUGAUGAAGGGGCGAAGGCCUUUCCUCUUCAUCCCUCGGUCUUGCUUCGCACUCUCCGCUAGAGCCCCAUGGAUGCUCUUCAAUCUCCAUCAUCAAGUAUUCAAGAGCUGGCUCAUACGAACCGAGUGAUGCAAUCGAUCCAUGUUUGUAGCUAGAGGAUGUUGUCCGUUGCAAUGGGGGUGUAGGCAAGCAUGACAGGGUGCUGCAGGAGCCGUUCGGGGACGCAGUGGUGGAUGUGGGAGGGAGUUUGUGCUGCUUGUCACCACCGCAUUCAUACUUGCCGCCGCUUGUGUUCGAGCAGCCAUGUCUGUCAGUUCACAACUCACUGAACUCAAUUGCCAUAUACAUUUUGGUUAUUUUUUCCUAAGCAAUAGAUAAAGGGGGGAUUGGUAGUUUAGAUUUUGGUCAUUUUUCUGAGCAAUUUACUGUAUGCAUGCUAAGCAUUUUAUAUUGAAUUUAUAAGCAAUUUUAUAUGAGCCACUACCACUAUGCAGUAAUGGUUAUACAAUAAGGGUAGUCUACUUUUAGGAUUUAGGCAAUUUACAAGCAAUGCAUGCAAAGCUUUUAAUAGUGAAACUGGGAGCAAUUCUAUUUGUGUCAGUAUGUAGUUUGUUAUGCAACUAUGGUUGUCUAGUUUUGUGGUUGUAUCUAUAUGAUGUGUAUGACCUCCCAUAUUUUACUUUAACAUAUGGUAGAUUAUAAGCACCUAUGUUAUUUGUCUUGUCAUUUUUGAGACAUGAUUUAGCAUUUGGAUGAUUGCCUUUUUACUUUUUAUAGGCAACUUGUGUGAAAUCAAUAAGCAAGUUAUGUAUUUUGGUUUAGUAUUUUUCGUGUUCUAACUAGCAUUUUUGGUGUUAAGCUGAUCUGCCAUUUUUAACUGAUUUUAAUUUGUUCUUGGUGCAUAUUGCAAUUUAUAUAUUAGCUAGAAAAUAACACUUUCAGUAUAGUUUUGAUCCCCAGUUUUGUAAUAAACAGUGAUAAAUAACUAUAGACAAAUAACCAGUUUUGCGAUAAGCAGUGAUAAAUAAGUAUAGCAAAUAAAACAGGUUAUACUUCUGCUCAAACAACAGGGUACUGCUGCCUUUUCUUUUGUGUUCAUGUAAUUUGGGGCGAUGUGAAAUAUUGGGGGAGGCAGAUCUUUUGUUGUUUGUGUGAACUACAAUAUAUACUUGAUGUUGUAUCAAUUUUCAUAUUUGGUUAGUUUUACCAUUUUGGUUCUACUGGCCAAUUUCUGAAGGAAAAAUUCAUUUUAGUUUAGCACGUUUUGUAUUCUAGUUUAGCAGUUUUGUACUCUGAUUAUCUAUCCUCUUAAUUUAUACUGAUUUAAUUCUUGUGUUUAGUACUUUGUGCUUGGUUCUGUAGCAGACUCGUACAAAUUUGAAGGAGCCAGUCAAUGCAUUUUAAUUUGGUGCUAGGGGAUGAGGCCUGAAGACUUGUUUUUGUGAAUGUUUAGAAUUUAACUAGAUGGGUGAAAAUACCAUUGUAUAUGUUCUAAGUUGCUUACAUGUUUUCAAAGUUCUGCCUAUGAGAUCCUGAGAAGUUGCUUUUUUACAUUGUAACUGUUGAUUUGAUUUACCAAUGUUAUGAAGUUAACAACAUCCAGAA